GGGGAAUAUUGCACAAUGGGCGCAAGCCUGAUGCAGCAACGCCGCGUGAGGGACGACGGCCUUCGGGUUGUAAACCUCUUUUGGCGGGGAAGAAGCGAAAGUGACGGUACCUGCAGAAAAAGCACCGGCUAACUACGUGCCAGCAGCCGCGGUGAUACGUAGGAUGCAAGCGUUGUCCGGAAUUAUUGGGCGUAAAGAGCUCGUAGGCGGUUUGUCGCGUCUGCUGUGAAAACCCGAGUCUCAACCUCGGGCCUGCAGUGGGUACGGGCAAACUAGAGUGCGGUAGGGGAGAUUGGAAUUCCUGGUGUAGCGGGGGAGUGCGCAGAUAUCAGGAGGAACACCGAUGGCGAAGGCAGAUCUCUGGGCCGUAACUGACGCUGAGGAGCGAAAGCAAGGGGAGCGAACA
RNAcentral lists this ribosomal RNA (406 nucleotides) under uncultured bacterium. RNAcentral's name for it is "bacterial SSU rRNA". It matches the Rfam family "Bacterial small subunit ribosomal RNA", at positions 356 to 774 of the family's 1533-position model. The record is from RNAcentral.